AGAGUUUGAUCCUGGCUCAGGAUGAACGCUGGGCGGCGUGCCUAACACAUGCAAGUCGAGCGGUAUAUACUUAAGCAAAUCUUCGGAAGAGCGAGAGUAUAGAGAGCGGCGGACGGGUGAGUAACGCGUAGGCAACCUGCCCCAUACAGAGGGAUAGCCUCGGGAAACCGGGAUUAAAACCUCAUAACGCGAGAAGUUCACAUGGACUUUUCGCCAAAGAUUUAUCGGUAUGGGAUGGGCCUGCGUCUGAUUAGCUAGUUGGUGGGGUAACGGCCUACCAAGGCAACGAUCAGUAGCCGACCUGAGAGGGUAAUCGGCCACAUUGGAACUGAGACACGGUCCAAACUCCUACGGGAGGCAGCAGUGGGGAAUAUUGCACAAUGGGCGAAAGCCUGAUGCAGCAACGCCGCGUGAGCGAUGAAGGCCUUUGGGUCGUAAAGCUCUGUCCUUGGGGAAGAAAAAAAUGACGGUACCCUUGGAGGAAGCCCCGGCUAACUACGUGCCAGCAGCCGCGGUAAUACGUAGGGGGCAAGCGUUAUCCGGAAUUAUUGGGCGUAAAGAGUGCGUAGGUGGUUUUGUAAGCGCGGGGUGAAAGGCAAUGGCUCAACUAUUGUAAGCCCUGCGAACUGUGAGACUUGAGUGCAGGAGAGGAAAGCGGAAUUCCUAGUGUAGCGGUGAAAUGCGUAGAUAUUAGGAGGAACACCAGUGGCGAAGGCGGCUUUCUGGACUGUAACUGACACUGAGGCACGAAAGCGUGGGGAGCAAACAGGAUUAGAUACCCUGGUAGUCCACGCCGUAAACGAUGAGCACUAGGUGUCGGGGCCGCAAGGCUUCGGUGCCGCAGUUAACGCAUUAAGUGCUCCGCCUGGGGAGUACGCACGCAAGUGUGAAACUCAAAUGAAUUGACGG
This 909-nucleotide ribosomal RNA is filed under the name uncultured bacterium. RNAcentral's name for it is "bacterial SSU rRNA". It matches the Rfam family "Bacterial small subunit ribosomal RNA", at positions 8 to 916 of the family's 1533-position model. The record is from RNAcentral.